Molecule: long non-coding RNA, 475 nt
Filed under: Leguminivora glycinivorella
Lineage: Eukaryota; Metazoa; Arthropoda; Insecta; Lepidoptera; Tortricidae
Description: uncharacterized LOC125227745
Source: RNAcentral
GGCUAUGCCUCAAUUGAUAAAGUGAACUAAUUGCCUACUUCAAAAGCAGUUUUGCAUGAAAGUCAACAUCUAAUUGGAAUUUACAAUGCCCGAUAUUUCUACACAUCUGCCACAAAUUUUAUGGAAAACAAUAUUUAUAGAAACUGAACAUACCUUGGUUAAACGUAUAUGAAAUGGGUAACCAUCCUCGAAGAACAUCAACCAGCUGUCGGCAAUGUGCAGGUGGACUGAGGAAUUUUCCGGUGUGUCCUUUAUGGACUGUACUCCGUCUUAGCACAAUUCCCAAGUUUUACCCGAGAGGCCACGCUUCAGGUUGGACCGUCUUCCAUAUAUCUACUGACUUCAUAUAAAUGAAAGUGUACUAAAGGCUCACUGAUCUACACUACCAGCUCAUGCUCAACGUUACUGAACAACAAAGUAAUCCGACAAUCAGACUGGACCCGGUCAUGUUAGAUACCAGAGGAAGACGAAAAUA